UUGGCAUACCGCAAAAUAUGGUAAAAACGACCCAACGAGUCCAAGGAAACCAAUCUGCUAUCCCAAUGAUCCUUUUGCACUGUCGUUGACACAAAAAUGAACAAGGAGAACCGAUUGUGCGGCUGAAGUAAACUUGCUCAUCUACACUUCUCUGCAAGGAUAAAUGUGGACUUUAUGAAGCACUGAUUCUCCAAGGCAUUUGCACUGUUUUGUUUUUGGUUUUUCUGUUGAUUUUAUGUUUU
Molecule: long non-coding RNA, 242 nt
Filed under: Prunus persica (peach)
Lineage: Eukaryota; Viridiplantae; Streptophyta; Magnoliopsida; Rosales; Rosaceae
Description: long non-coding RNA (PPER_LNC002805)
Source: RNAcentral